AGCAGCCGCGGUAAUUCCAGCUCCAAUAGCGUAUAUUAAAGUUGUUGCAAUUAAAAAGCUCGUAGUUGAACCUUAGGCCCGUGCGGGCGGUCCGUCCUCUGGGCGAGCACUGCCUCGUCGCGGGUCUCACCUUCUGGCGAGCGUGGAUGCCAUUCAUUUGGUGUCUGCGGGAACCAGGACCUUUACCUUGAAAAAAUUAGAGUGCUUAAAGCGGGCUCUUACGCUUGAAUACAUUAGCAUGGAAUAAUGAAAUAGGACGACGGUUCUAUUUUGUUGGUUUCCGGGACGGUCGUAAUGAUUAAUAGGGAUAGUUGGGGGCAUUCGUAUUCAAUUGUCAGAGGUGAAAUUCUUGGAUUUAUUGAAGACGGACUACUGCGAAAGCAUUUGCCAAGGAUGUUUUCAUUAAUCAAGAACGAAAGUUGGGGAUCGAAGACGAUCAGAUACCGUCGUAGUCUCAACUAUAAACUAUGCCGACUGGGAAUCGGGCGAUGUUAUUUUCGUGACUCGCUCGGCGCCCCGA
Molecule: ribosomal RNA, 520 nt
Filed under: uncultured Paraglomus
Lineage: Eukaryota; Fungi; Glomeromycota; Glomeromycetes; Paraglomerales; Paraglomeraceae
Description: SSU rRNA
Rfam family: Eukaryotic small subunit ribosomal RNA
Source: RNAcentral